This 468-nucleotide ribosomal RNA is filed under the name uncultured bacterium. RNAcentral describes it as "partial 16S ribosomal RNA". It matches the Rfam family "Bacterial small subunit ribosomal RNA", at positions 28 to 507 of the family's 1533-position model. The record is from RNAcentral.
GACGAACGCUGGCGGCGUGCUUAACACAUGCAAGUCGAACGGAAAGGCCCUGCUUUUGUGGGGUGCUCGAGUGGCGAACGGGUGAGUAACACGUGAGUAACCUGCCCUUGACUUUGGGAUAACUUCAGGAAACUGGGGCUAAUACCGGAUAGGAGCUCCUGCUGCAUGGUGGGGGUUGGAAAGUUUCGGCGGUUGGGGAUGGACUCGCGGCUUAUCAGCUUGUUGGUGGGGUAGUGGCUUACCAAGGCUUUGGCGGGUAGCCGGCCUGGGAGGGUGACCGGCCACAUUGGGACUGAGAUACGGCCCAGACUCCUACGGGAGGCAGCAGUGGGGAAUAUUGCACAAUGGGCGGAAGCCUGAUGCAGCAACGCCGCGGGCGGGAUGACGGCCUUCGGGUUGUAAACCGCUUUCGCCUGUGACGAAGCGUGAGUGACGGUAAUGGGUAAAGAAGCACCGGCUAACUACGUG